UACGGGAGGCAGCAGUGGGGAAUAUUGCACAAUGGGCGCAAGCCUGAUGCAGCCAUGCCGCGUGUAUGAAGAAGGCCUUCGGGUUGUAAAGUACUUUCAGCAGUGAGGAAGGUGGGUAUGUUAAUAGCAUACUCAUUUGACGUUAGCUGCAGAAGAAGCACCGGCUAACUCCGUGCCAGCAGCCGCGGUAAUACGGAGGUGCGAGCGUUAAUCGGAAUUACUGGGCGUAAAGCGCAUGCAGGUGGUUUGUUAAGUCAGAUGUGAAAGCCCGGGGCUCAACCUCGGAAUUGCAUUUGAAACUGGCAAACUAGAGUACUGUAGAGGGGGUAGAAUUUCAGGUGUAGCGGUGAAAUGCGUAGAGAUCUGAAGGAAUACCGGUGGCGAAGGCGGCCCCCUGGACAGAUACUGACACUCAGAUGCGAAAGCGUGGGGAGCAAACAGGAUUAGAUACCCUGGUAG
Molecule: ribosomal RNA, 459 nt
Filed under: uncultured bacterium
Lineage: Bacteria
Description: bacterial SSU rRNA
Rfam family: Bacterial small subunit ribosomal RNA
Source: RNAcentral